Molecule: ribosomal RNA, 107 nt
Filed under: Lepidonotopodium jouinae
Lineage: Eukaryota; Metazoa; Annelida; Polychaeta; Phyllodocida; Polynoidae
Description: partial small subunit ribosomal RNA
Source: RNAcentral
GCUACUACCGAUUGAAUGGUUUAGUGAGAUCAUCGGACCGGCCCCGGCACAGCUUUUAAAAGAGUAUAGCCGUGGAUAGCCGGGAAGACGAUCGAACUUGAUCAUUU